RNAcentral lists this transfer RNA (62 nucleotides) under Acizzia hollisi. Its description in RNAcentral is "tRNA-Leu". Lineage: Eukaryota; Metazoa; Arthropoda; Insecta; Hemiptera; Psyllidae. The record is from RNAcentral.
UAUUGUGUCAGAGUAAUGUAUUAAAUUUAAGAUUUGAAAAUGAAUAAUAAGUUCCUUUAGUA